GAAGAAAAACAAUUAUUUGACUAGGUAUUUAAACAUGAGAUAUAAUUAUAUUUUUUAAUGUAGUCCCCCCCCCUUCUUCUAAUAAAAUGUAACUUAAUCUUGGUCUAUCAUCGUUAUACAUGGCCCAAGUAAGUAUAAGCUGAAUGUGAAUCGAAAUGGUUUUAAAAUUCUAAACGCGUUUAUUCUAAUACGUAUACACCUAUUGGUUCGUAUACCUACUUAGGUACAAUAUUGUUACUUUUUAAUCAUAAUAUGUGUUAUUUACAUUUUUUGUAUAAAAAUGUAUAUAUUAUAACGGUCAGAUCACCUCGUGCAUUUUCCAUAGUUAAACGGAUGUGGACGAUUACAGUGUGUACUUUAUCGAAGCGGUCAUUUUUCACAUUCAUAAUAUUAUAACAAAUCAGAAAAAACCACCGAAAAAUGGUCAAAUUUACAUACACCACCCAUUUUUUUAUAAAAAUGAUUUGGAUCUUUCUUUUUUAUAACUCCAAGAAUUUCAAUUUUAGAUACUUGAAACUCUCACUAGUUAUUAAUCGUAAAUUAUAGAUUUAAACGUCAUAGUAUUAAAAGAAUAAUCUGAUAGAUCUUUAAAAAAAUGUCGAAAAACAAAUAUUGGCAAGACUAGAUAAAAACUAUAACGAUGAUAAAUAAAACCGACAUCUCAGUUUAAAAAAAACCGAUAACCUUGCAUUUUAAUAACCUAUAUUUACAGACGUGAUAAAAACACAUAUUAUAAUAAUAUUUCUGAAAAAUUAAAUUUCAGAUUAAAAGUUAAUGUUUAUGAUUUAUAUUUUAUUUUAUUAUUGUCUUUGCUCCCCCUUAGUCCUUAGCGCCUUACUAUGUAGAUACUAUAUUAUUUUUAAUUUAAAUUGUAUAUAGUAUUAAACUUUUUACGGCACAGUAAUUUUUCGUCACAUUUCUGUGCGAUUUGCAAUAUUUCGAGACGUUACAUGUGCAUACAAGGUCAUUCGUAUCAUACUCGUAUCAUUGCUAUUAUAUAAUAAUCAUAAAAUAUACAUGUUAAUUAGAUGUAUAAUAUUAUUAUGUACUUUGAAAAUCUUUACUCAUGAUGAAUUUAUUUUUAAUCACAGAUAAUGUUAUAUGCGUAGGCAAUUUUAAAAAUGUCCUCUAAACGCUAAAUGAUAAACCAGAAACCUAGCCGAGAAUCGGUUUUCAAAUGCGAUGGCCGAUGAUUUAUCAUUUUUUUUUUCAUCACAUAAUGUGCGACGCCGGCCAAGGACAGCGAAACGAGACGUGUGUGGUGUGUAUAACGUCAUCAAGUCUCCAUGUCUCAAGUCCUCAAGGUAAUUCAUAGGAACGAUUCAAAAUAAAAAAUAUCAAAAUAUCAUAAAUCUGAUAUCCUACUAUUGACAUUUGUACAGAUUCACUUAGCGCUAUUAACAAUUUUCAGUAUAACUUACACUCCUUGAUUACCAUAGAAAUUUAAAAAAGUAUAAUAUGAUUGAAAAGGCUAACAAGAACAUAUUGUAUAUAUUAUGGACACUAAUUGUCCGUUGUGGAAUUGAUGACAAUGAGAAGGUUGACAAAGUAUCUCGAGAAACAGUAAAUAACCCUAUGACCAAAAUACACACCUACUCCUCAUUUAUUGACUUCUAUAUGAAAGUUAGCACCUAUUGUAUACCAAUUCAUCGAAAUCCGAAUGAUGACACACACCAAAUAACAAAAUAAGAGAAAUCAAAAAUACUACCACAUACUAGUGGUAUGUUUAAUUCACAUAUAUUCUGCGAAGAGAAGAACUAACACUGUGGCGAACCUGUAGAAAACAUCUUACAAUACAGUCAAGCACCUCCUUUGGAACUGUCGAAACCAUAUUAUAAUGAAACUAUAAAAAGCCUAGGAAUGCCUGACAACCUUUUUGAAGCUCUUAGCCCAAUUGAAGACAACAUCAACAAAAUCAUUUCAUUUCUCAAACAUACUUAACCUAGAAAAACCAUUGUAUUUAACCAUAUAUGUUAAUAUUUAAUAUUGUUGUAAGCUAAUAACCUAAGUUGUUGAAGGUGUACCAAAAACAAUAAUAAUGUAUAACGUAAGAACUGAAAUAAAUAUAUAUAAACCUCAAGAA
Acyrthosiphon pisum (pea aphid) is the source of this 2083-nucleotide long non-coding RNA. RefSeq lists it as uncharacterized. Lineage: Eukaryota; Metazoa; Arthropoda; Insecta; Hemiptera; Aphididae. The transcript is spliced from 2 exons. The record is from RefSeq and is a predicted model, not a curated record.